Sander lucioperca (pikeperch) is the source of this 235-nucleotide long non-coding RNA. RefSeq lists it as uncharacterized. The transcript has 3 exons. The record is from RefSeq and is a predicted model, not a curated record. NCBI's taxonomy places the organism in Eukaryota, Metazoa, Chordata, Actinopteri, Perciformes, Percidae.
AAUUUGCUUCAAACGGCUGGAGGUGCUGCAACCAGUGGUGGAAUGUAACUAAGUACAUUUAUUUAAGUACUUUACUUAAGUACAAUUUUGAGGUGCUUGUACUUUACCUGAGUCUUCUCUUUUCAUGCCAUUUUCUGCUACUACUACUCCGCUACAUUUCAGAGAGAAAUAUUGUACUUUUUACUCCACUACAUCAAUCUGACAGCUUUCGUUACUAGUUACUUUAGACAUUAAG